GCAGUCCCGUCGCGGUGGAGGCCUGUGAACCAGGUCAGGUGCGGAAGCAAGCAGCCUUAAGCGGCAACCUCCAGGCGCGGCGGGGCACUUAU
RNAcentral lists this signal recognition particle RNA (92 nucleotides) under Solirubrobacterales bacterium. Its description in RNAcentral is "signal recognition particle sRNA small type". It matches the Rfam family "Bacterial small signal recognition particle RNA". Rfam says of the family: The signal recognition particle (SRP) is a universally conserved ribonucleoprotein involved in the co-translational targeting of proteins to membranes. Lineage: Bacteria; Bacillati; Actinomycetota; Thermoleophilia; Solirubrobacterales. The record is from RNAcentral.